RNAcentral lists this ribosomal RNA (426 nucleotides) under uncultured bacterium. RNAcentral's name for it is "partial 16S ribosomal RNA". It matches the Rfam family "Bacterial small subunit ribosomal RNA", at positions 354 to 796 of the family's 1533-position model. The record is from RNAcentral.
GUGAGGAAUUUUCCGCAAUGUGCGAAAGCCUGACGGAGCAAUGCCGCGUGAAGGAUGAAGGCCUAUGGGUUGUAAACUUCUUUUCUCAGAAAAGAAUUAUGACGGUAUCUGAGGAAUAAGCAUCGGCUAACUCUGUGCCAGCAGCCGCGGUAAGACAGAGGAUGCAAGCGUUAUCCGGAAUGAUUGGGCGUAAAGCGUCUGUAGGUUGUUUAAAAAGUAUUCUGUCAAAGAUUAGGGCUUAACCCUAGAUAGGCAGAAUAAACUUUUAAGCUAGAGUUUGGUAGAGGCAGAGGGAAUUCCCGGUGGAGCGGUGAAAUGCGUAGAUAUCGGGAGGAACACCAAAGGCGAAGGCACUCUGCUGGGCCAAUACUAACACUGAGAGACGAAAGCGAGGGGAGCAAAUGGGAUUAGAAACCCCUGUAGUCC